AACGCACGAGACCUGCGGACCUGCGGAGGGAUCAUUACAUGAUUUGAGGGGGCUCGCGUCCCCUCGUCCAACCCACAAACCCCGAGGAAACUUUAUGUCGAGUGGUUCGGCGCUCUCUUUGAGAGCCGCCCCUCAAACGCAUCGCAGGCUUUUCGUGAGGGUCUGAUGUGUCACAUCGUGAGUAUAAAAACUUUCAACAACGGAUCUCU
RNAcentral lists this unclassified non-coding RNA (209 nucleotides) under soil metagenome. Its description in RNAcentral is "partial contains 5.8S ribosomal RNA, internal transcribed spacer 2, and large subunit ribosomal RNA". The record is from RNAcentral.